This is a long non-coding RNA of Pseudopipra pipra, 1166 nucleotides long. RefSeq lists it as uncharacterized. The transcript has 2 exons. NCBI's taxonomy places the organism in Eukaryota, Metazoa, Chordata, Aves, Passeriformes, Pipridae. The record is from RefSeq and is a predicted model, not a curated record.
GCCAGAUAUUGAGAAACCCUGCCAAAUGCAUAAGGAAACUACCCAAAUUAGGGAAGGUUCAAAAGUUUAAGAAGAAGAUGAUGGUGAGGACAGCGGGUUCAUGAUGAAGAAAGACCGGAACGACCACCAAAGUUCUCCCCAAAUUGAAGACCACGCCUCUAACUCCGCCUCAACUCCGCCUAUUAUGAAUAUUAAAAGUAGAUGUUGCAAUGUAAUGAAUAUUCAUAAUAUGUGAUGUAAUUGCUUAGCAAAAGGUGUAUAAAAGCUCAAAUUGUAAGUUCUUCGGUGAAGCAGUUUGCCCAGGGCGACCUGGCUGCUUCCCGGCCGUGAAAAAUAAAUACCUCCUGCUUAUAGACUGAAAACUCUGUCUCUGAGCAGUUCCUCUGCGCCUUCUUUGGGGCAAAAUUUGGCAUCAAUUUUGGCGAGCCAGGCAGGAGAGGGGGGUCUUCCUGAGCCAGGACCCAAGGGGCCGGGACGCUCUCAGGGCCCCCCGACUGAAUUUUUGUCGGCAGAGUCUCCCGGACCCCUUGGAUCUGCGCAACGGUGGACAAGAAUCUCCUGCUCUAAAUUAAGAGGUAUUUGAUCUUUUAUAUUUUAGGUAAAAGCGCUUUAUUGGUGGGGAUAGGACGCUAUCGCCCAAAAGGGAGCCGGAGGGACGCCUCGGCAUUAGCCCUAAAACUGGGUUCGAGUCCCAGGUAUCGAAAGCAGCAGGUUAGAGUCCUGCAAAGAUAGCAGGUUAGAGUCCUGCAAAGACAGCAGGUUAGAGUCCUGCAAAGAUAGCAGGUUAGAGUCCUGCAAAGAUAGCAGGUUAGAGUCCUGCAAAGAUAGCAGGUUAGAGUCCUGCAAAGGUAGCAGGUUAGAGGCCUGCCAGAAAAGGGUUAAAGUCCCAACACACCAGAAAAAAAAAAAAAAAAAAAAAAAAAAAAAAAAAAAAAAAAAAAAAGAGGAUGAGGAAGUUGCUAAAGUUAUAGUGGUAGCAGUAGCAGCCCAAAGCUCAAGGUUCCCGGAGAUAAAUACUAGAGGCAGAGGUCGUGGUUACCCUGCAAGGGGAAGAGGAGGUUUCCUUUCCCAACAAACCAGAAUAAAGUCAAAACAGUGUUCCUAUUGCUUGCAAAUAGGUCACUGAAAACGAGACCGUCCUAAAUUAAAUAGGAAGUUUAAGAGUG